GACCCAGAUAGGUUAGCUAGCAACAGCUUUCAGUAGGAGAGAAGAAGGCAAAUUACCCAGUCAGCCUAUUAAUAACCCAAAAGGACAGUACAUGGCUGAAAGCACCAUUGGUCCUGAAAUUUUUUCUGAACAUGCCAAAUCGAUUAUGACCCUUAGAAGCGAAAAAACCUUAAAUCAACCUGAAAUAACCCAACAACAAGAGCAACCAAUUCCAGCCACACCAGAAAAGAAGAACCCGA
RNAcentral lists this long non-coding RNA (239 nucleotides) under Elaeis guineensis (African oil palm). RNAcentral describes it as "long non-coding RNA (EGUI_LNC044682)". Lineage: Eukaryota; Viridiplantae; Streptophyta; Magnoliopsida; Arecales; Arecaceae. The record is from RNAcentral.